Non-coding RNA from Tetranychus urticae (two-spotted spider mite), 1122 nucleotides. Lineage: Eukaryota; Metazoa; Arthropoda; Arachnida; Trombidiformes; Tetranychidae. The record is from RefSeq and is a predicted model, not a curated record.
CUGUAUAGAAGCCGGUGUGUAUGAAACCAGCAGAAUUUGUUUCAAUAUUGUGAAAAGUUUCAUCUAAAUGCAACAUCUUUUAUUAUCUUUUGAUUAUUACAUGACUCAAUCAGCUGACUAUGCAGGCGCAGUAUUUGAAUGUUUUUAUGUAUAUAAAGUCAUGUUGUGUUGAUUCUGAGAGUAAUUGACUAACGAUUGAGUAACAAUACAACACUAGUUGAGUCAUGUUGUGGGGGUUUCGAAAGUAUUAUAACUUAAUAUAACUGAUGUGUUUGAAAUAAGUAAAAUUUGAUUACAGUGUGCGUUAAAUGGAGCCAUUUAAUUGCUAAGCGGACUAAAAAAGUUAAAUAUUUGAUCGGUCAGCGUGGUUAUUCAUCUGAUGCUGUUUAUUUUCAAAGACCAUGUGUGCGUGAUGUAACCUACCUGAGUAAAUUAUUUACAAAUUUACAAAUUGCCGAAUUGUCUCCUGGAUUACAUCUCAAAGUAGAAGACGCAAUUGAAUUUGUUAGCAAACAAGAAUCAUUGAAAGGAUUAAUUAGUAGAUAUCGCAAACCAAUAGAAAAAUAUUGUGAUCAACUCGAAAUGCUUUCUGUCAAUCAUUUCAAUCCAAACAAUUUACAAAAUAGUUCAAACAUAAAGCAAUUGGACAUUUGGAAUUAUAGUCUAGUGGAUUUGAGAAGAGAUGCACAUUAUUUGCCAAACCUUGAAAGACUAAAGGUUGAAAUAGAUGUUCCAGAUAAUCCCUACGAUGGUCCAGUAUUGGAAAAGCUCAAAAUACUUGAGAUGGCCUUUCGUCGUCCCUGUCAUAACAUUUUUUAUGGUUUCCAGUUCAUGGAUUCAUGUCCAAAUUUACAAAGCGCACAUAUUUUGAUGAGCGCUAAUACUUCGUUUUUUGAUGAAACAUUGAAACACAAAUGUUUACAAGAUUUAGUUUUUCAAUUCUAUGGACUUGAUAACGCAGAUGAUACCUGGAAUUAUUUUAAAAGAUUGUUCAAGAAAUUUCCGAAUCUCAAACAUCUUGCGUUGAGGGGCCAUUGUAUUAUAACAGAUGAACAUAUCGAGCAGUUGGUUCACAUUUUACCCAAUUUAGUGCUAUUGGAUGCUGUUGAGUGUCAGGAAGUC